UGGGGAAUAUUGGACAAUGGGCGAAAGCCUGAUCCAGCCAUGCCGCGUGUGUGAAGAAGGCCUUUUGGUUGUAAAGCACUUUAAGUGGGGAGGAAAAGCUUAUGGUUAAUACCCAUAAGCCCUGACGUUACCCACAGAAUAAGCACCGGCUAACUCUGUGCCAGCAGCCGCGGUAAUACAGAGGGUGCAAGCGUUAAUCGGAAUUACUGGGCGUAAAGCGCACGCAGGCGGUUUGUUAAGUCAGAUGUGAAAUCCCCGGGCUCAACCUGGGAACUGCAUCUGAUACUGGCAAGCUUGAGUCUCGUAGAGGGGGGUAGAAUUCCAGGUGUAGCGGUGAAAUGCGUAGAGAUCUGGAGGAAUACCGGUGGCGAAGGCGGCCCCCUGGACGAAGACUGACGCUCAGGUGCGAAAGCGUGGGGAGCAAACAGGAUUAGAUACCCCGGUAGUCCACGCCGUAAACGAUGUCGACUUGGAGGUUGUGCCCUUGAGGCGUGGCUUCCGGAGCUAACGCGUUAAGUCGACCGCCUGGGGAGUACGGCCGCAAGGUUA
This 549-nucleotide ribosomal RNA is filed under the name uncultured bacterium. RNAcentral's name for it is "bacterial SSU rRNA". It matches the Rfam family "Bacterial small subunit ribosomal RNA", at positions 355 to 896 of the family's 1533-position model. The record is from RNAcentral.